UUUAGAUUAACUUUUAUUAAAAAUUAAUUACAUUGUUUUGGUACACAGAGCAAUAAAUAACCUCACUUUUUGAAUGUCUCCGUUUGACAGAUCAAUGCGUUACGUUCCAUUCUUUUAGUAUAGAAGAAAUGUAUAAUGAAAUUAAAUAUUCAACACUAAAUUUUUAUAAAACUUAAUAUUUAGGCUCUUUAAUUUAAAUUCUAGCUAUUUCUAGUAUUUUCCUCAAUGUUUAUAUUAAAAUAACAUUGUAAUGUAUCUUGAUCGAUCAUGGGUUCGGAACGUUCUAGAAAUUUGACAUAUUCUGAGUGAAACGAAACGCGCGGGAGACGGUCCGAAUACUAUGAGUGACGUUUCUUCUGUUUCUAAAAGUUAAAUAAAUUAAUUAAAUUUAAAUCGGAGGAGCAGUUUUGUGAGUUCUCAUAUCAAAAUUAUUCAAUAAGAGGCUGGUUGACUCAAAUAGAACUUAUUAGAAAUAGAAAUAAAAAAUAAAAAUGAAGAAACAUUUUUAUUGUUUGUUAUUGUUGGGUUUGAUUCGGACCACAAGUCACAGGUGAUGACCGGCGCUUUUUGGAGUGUCCUUUUUCUUUUGCUGGGUUGUCCGUGCUCGCGAGUGGAGGUUCCGGUGUGCGUGGUGUCCUAGUGUCCCGAUUCCAGGAGGUCCGAACCGUGCCGAUUCCCAAAUAAACGGGCAGGGCACGCAUCGUCAUCCUCAGCGAAAAUAAGGGAAUUCAGAAAUAAAUCCGAAAGCCCCGUGAUUUCGUGGACUCACUGCCACGUGCCGAAUUUUAUUACGGAAGAUUGUGUGUGGUUGAGCAGUGCUCGGUGGCGAGCCUCUGCACUGUCUGCUGUUGCUGUCUAUUGUUGCUGUCUGUUGUUGCUGACGUUGCCUCCAUAGCAGGUGACGAUGGUGCCUGAGAGUCGUUCCCCGACCAUGACUGGCCGAUAUGUACACUACCGCGGUCCU
Molecule: long non-coding RNA, 964 nt
Organism: Ostrinia nubilalis (European corn borer)
Lineage: Eukaryota; Metazoa; Arthropoda; Insecta; Lepidoptera; Crambidae
Exons: 3
Source: RefSeq, a predicted model, not a curated record